CAAGCCCUCGCGGCUUCAUCAAAGAGCUUCUGACCCUUGCCUUCCCGGGACAAUCACCGGGUCUGCAGCUAAAAGCCGGAUUCUUGAGGCCAUCGGCAAGUCAGGCCGACAUUGUGUAACUUUUUCUCUUCCUCAUUGGCAUUUCAUGUUCGUUUACCUUAUUUUAGCCAGUCCGAUUCUUAAUUUAUUUCAACAAUCAGGAUAAACAAAUGUGUACACAAACGAAUUCUAGCUAAGGCCGAUGAAUUAUUAGAGAAUGUUCUAGCCGGUCGUCACGAGGCUGUCGCCGCUGGGUUUUACAAGCGCCCCUCCCUCGGCGUGGUAAUCCUGGGGGGCCAUCCCUUGCCGCGCGAUCUGAUCUCGGGUUGCCACCGGAGCGGCUGCCGAGCCUCGCAGAGCUCCCGGCCGCCUUCCCAGGACCUGGAAUUUUAAACUUCGCAAAUGGGGCGUCUCUUUACUCGGUGGCGGAGGACAGAGCGGCCUGGAGAGCCGUCCGACCCGGGAAACCCACGCCUUUCUCCCGGCGACGCGCCGACUGCGGAGGCUGCGAGGAGCGGCCUGCUGAGACGAGAUGAUGGUCUUCCUAUGUUGCCCAGGCUAGAUUUGAACUCCUGCAUGCAAGCGAUCUUCCUGCCUCAGCCUCCUGAGUAGCUGGGACUGCAGGUGUGUACUGAUGCACCCAGCCUUGGCCAGCCUUAAGCCACACUGUAGACAUCAUGACUUCAUCCUCUGGAUCUCAGUCUUCUGUUGUCCUCAGCCCUGUUAUGGUCGACUUCUUCUAACUGCAGGGAGCUAGAAGUCAGAGAAAUGUGUGAUCUUGUUUUCUCUGCCAUGAUGUUCCAAAGAGGCACCGGGGUACGACUGAGAGGCUGUGGAACUCAGCAGACCCUCUUCAGUCAGCCCUCAUGGUAUGUUGUCUGGUAAACUGACUUCAGGAUAGAAGGUAUGGCACAAGUGCCUGACUGUUCGUAGGUGCUGGACAAAUGUGGGUUGAAUGACUAAAUAAAUGAGGAGUGAAUAAAUCAAUAUAUGCCACGAAUACCGCCAUACAGUUACAGAGUUACUACCAACAGAAACUACAUUCCUAAGUGAAACUAUAAAUCAUUUUUAUAAUAAAGUAAAAGUUUAUCUGA
Molecule: long non-coding RNA, 1133 nt
Organism: Sapajus apella (tufted capuchin)
Lineage: Eukaryota; Metazoa; Chordata; Mammalia; Primates; Cebidae
Exons: 2
Source: RefSeq, a predicted model, not a curated record